RNAcentral lists this transfer RNA (68 nucleotides) under Pteropus alecto (black flying fox). It matches the Rfam family "tRNA". From Rfam's summary of the family: Transfer RNA (tRNA) molecules are approximately 80 nucleotides in length. Their secondary structure includes four short double-helical elements and three loops (D, anti-codon, and T loops). Further hydrogen bonds mediate the characteristic L-shaped molecular structure. tRNAs have two regions of fundamental functional importance: the anti-codon, which is responsible for specific mRNA codon recognition, and the 3' end, to which the tRNAs corresponding amino acid is attached (by aminoacyl-tRNA synthetases). tRNAs cope with the degeneracy of the genetic code in two manners: having more than one tRNA (with a specific anti-codon) for a particular amino acid; and 'wobble' base-pairing, i.e. permitting non-standard base-pairing at the 3rd anti-codon position. RNAcentral also lists the same sequence under 1 other name. Lineage: Eukaryota; Metazoa; Chordata; Mammalia; Chiroptera; Pteropodidae. The record is from Rfam by way of RNAcentral.
GGCUCCAUAGUGUAGUGGUUAGCAUGUCUGCUUUACAUGCAGGAGGUCUUGCACCCCAGGUGGAGCCA